UACGGAGGGUGCGAGCGUUGUCCGGAAUCACUGGGCUUAAAGGGCGCGUAGGUGGCGCGGGAAGUCAACGGUGAAAGUUCGGGGCUCAACCCUGAAUCGGCCGUCGAUACUCCCGGGCUCGAGCACUGUAGAGGCAGAUGGAAUUCCGGGUGUAGCGGUGGAAUGCGUAGAGAUCCGGAAGAACACCGGUGGCGAAGGCGGUCUGCUGGGCAGUUGCUGACACUGAUGCGCGACAGCGUGGGGAGCAAACAGG
This 253-nucleotide ribosomal RNA is filed under the name uncultured bacterium. Its description in RNAcentral is "partial 16S ribosomal RNA". It matches the Rfam family "Bacterial small subunit ribosomal RNA", at positions 524 to 776 of the family's 1533-position model. The record is from RNAcentral.